Molecule: long non-coding RNA, 2624 nt
Organism: Scatophagus argus
Lineage: Eukaryota; Metazoa; Chordata; Actinopteri; Scatophagidae
Exons: 2
Source: RefSeq, a predicted model, not a curated record
UACGGGUCUGACACCCUAACCGCUGAUCCACAACAGUUUGAUUUAAAAAAAAAACAGAAAGUUGCUCCUGUUGUUAAGACUAAGGCAGGUGUUCAAGUUCAGUUUGCCUUUACUGUAAAUUCAGAUCAAUAUCUUAGUGCUACCCAGGGCCAGUAGUGAUAUCCAACCACAACCGCUACAGGCCUCAAAGCCCCCGUCACUCUCCAUGCUCUGCCCACUGUACCUCGAAUGCAUAUUCCCAUACCUCAGUACGUCUCCUCCCAUUCAGCCCAACCUGCUCAGUCCACUGUACCUCACUCAGAAACCCCCUUUACCCCCCGCUCAGCACAAGAAACGGAUAUGAGAAAUAUCCUGGAAAAUCAAAAUAACAAAAAAAUUUGACAUGGAUUCUUAUGAAACAGCAACUUUUUACCACUUUGCCACCAGGAAGCAUCCCAGGCUUUGACGGGCAAGUCCUGGAAUACAAAUCAUUCAUUCACUCAUUUGAGAACCUGAUUGAAGCUAAAACUGAUAAUAAUAGAGACCGCCUGCAGUUUCUUAUUCAGGCCAGGAACAAAGACUAGUUAAGAGCUGUGAGUACAUGUCAGCAGAUAGAUGUUAUCACAAAGCAAAGAAGUUGCUGAAGGAAAACUUUGGAAAUAAAUACACAAUCUCAUGUGCUUAUUUGGAAAAGGUCCUGUCCUGAUCUCAAAUAAAAUCUGAUAACUCUAAAUUGCUGCAAGAUUUUGCCCUGUUUCUUAGGAGCUGUUGCAACGCCGUGGAGGAAAUGGAAUACAUAGAGGAACUGGACACAAUAUCCAACAUGAGAAGCAUUGUCUUCAAGUUGCCGUACGAACUCAGGGAGAAAUGGCGCAACAAGGCUUUUACAAGAACAGCAAAAUCACCAGCAAAGCAGCUGCUACAGGAGCUCUGUCUGAGAGGCUUUGGAUGGGACAAGCUGCGUCGGACAGAUGGCUGGAAUGGAUUAGCUGUCUGGAAAACUCCAAGGCUUCAGUGUUGCACACUGUCUGAAAUCAAAGGGGUAUGGAGUAAAAAAAUCUGUGGAACUUCAUCACUUUUCUGAUGCCAGUGAGAGUGGCUAUGGUUCGGUGAGCUACCUAAGACAGGUUAAUGGCCAGGAUGUAGUACAUGUCACCUUUGUCCCACAAAAGAGAGAAAGAGUCCUUCCAUUGAAGUGCAUCACAGUGCCACGACUGGAGCUGGCUGCUGCAGCACUGCUGGUGAAGGUGGACAGACUGCUGAGAAGAGAAUUACACCUGGAAUUAAGCCCUCAGUUUUCUGGACUGACAGUCAAACGGUGCUGAAGUACAUUGCAAACAACCAGGCAAAGUUCAAGACCUAUGUAAUCAACAGAGUCUCACUGAUUCACAACAACUCAGACCCCUCUCAAUGCAGGUAUGUAAACAGCAAAGACAAUCCUGCUGAUGACUGCUCAAGAUGAUUGAGCGCAAGCAAAUUCAUGGAGCAGAAAAGAAGGAUGCACGGUCCUGAAUUCUUAUGGAAGUUGGACGAAGGCUAGCAAGUGGAAGCAUUGGGCUCAGUGUUGCAGGAUGAUCCAGAGAUCUGGAGAAAUACUGCUGUGUUGACAACAUUGGUGAAGAACACUAAAGCCCCCACAGAUCAUCUUAUAUUUUCUUUUCAGACUGGAUGAGGCUUCUGAAAGCUGUAGCAUGGUAUCUCAAGCUAAAGAAAAGGUGCUCUCAAAAUGUGUUGUGUGCCAGCGUCUGAGAGGCAAAACAAAGGAGCAGAAGAUGGCAGAUGUGACGUUAGAGCCUGAUCUCCUGCCCUUCAUCAAUGUUGGACUGGACUACUGUGGCCCAAUUGAAGUACGGCGAGGGAGAAGUACCAUGAAAAGGUAUGGAGUUCUGUUCACAUGCAUGUCCUGCAGAGCUGUUCAUUUAGCAGUCGCUUUCUCUUUGGAUACUCAUGCAUUCAUGGUUUGAGGAGAUUUAUUUGUAGGAGGGGCCAAGUUAAGCACAUCAGAUCUAACAACAGAACAAACCUGGUGGGCGCUCAAGCUGAGCUUAAGAGGGCUCUGAUGUCGCUGAAUGAGAAGAAAAUCCAGGAUGCCCUGCCUGGUGCGAUCAGUGAAGAUCCAGACAAAGACUUCAGUCCUUGAGAGGCCCAUUACUAAGCUGUGCUGAAUCCCAGACACUGAAGAAUGAAUGUUCCUGACCACAUAUAAGGAAUGUAAUGUAUACUUUCUUUUCAUAUUCAUGCAUUAUUUUUUUUUAUCUUCUAAAAGCUUUCAGUGCUAAUUUCCCAGUAAUUGUUUAUUAUAUGGCUCCCUUUUGUAUAUUUAGGUAAUUAAUUCCAUAGAGAAUAAUUAGGGGCCGGUGUGUAGGAGCCGCAUUUAGUGUUUAUUUCUAUAUGUUUAUAUUUUUUCUUUUUCCAUUUUGAGAGAGUGUGCCCCCUGCAGGAAGCAUGGGUGCAACCCUAUAAAUAUGGUGUUGCAUGCAGCACAAUGGUGGAGAAAGCAGACCAGCUCAGAACCACACUCAUUUUGACCUCGGCCAGUCUCAGCCCUGCCACACACCAAGCAGAAGCCCUGCUUGGUGCUAUAACAUAAGAUUAGAGCAGUUUAAUUACUUCUUUUUUAUUUAUUUGAAAUAAAACAAGUCAAC